This 79-nucleotide transfer RNA is filed under the name Promethearchaeota archaeon. Its description in RNAcentral is "Candidatus Lokiarchaeota archaeon tRNA-Met". It matches the Rfam family "tRNA". From Rfam's summary of the family: Transfer RNA (tRNA) molecules are approximately 80 nucleotides in length. Their secondary structure includes four short double-helical elements and three loops (D, anti-codon, and T loops). The record is from RNAcentral. RNAcentral also lists the same sequence under 2 other names. Lineage: Archaea; Promethearchaeati; Promethearchaeota.
AGCGGGGUGGGCUAGCUUGGUUUAGGCUGCAGGGCUCAUAACCCUGAGAUCGUUAGUUCAAAUCUAACCCCCGCUACCA